RNAcentral lists this ribosomal RNA (450 nucleotides) under Triticum aestivum (bread wheat). RNAcentral describes it as "partial small subunit ribosomal RNA". The record is from RNAcentral. Lineage: Eukaryota; Viridiplantae; Streptophyta; Magnoliopsida; Poales; Poaceae.
AUGAGCUUGGGUGACAGGCUAACGCGACAAAGCCCAGCGAUAGAGAACAUACAGCUUCUCCAAACUCAAAGCCCAAAUAAAGAAUCUCGCGGCGCGACGGCCCAAACGACACACGGCCGGGAAGAGAAGGCUUCCUCCCAAAGCCUUCCAAGCCAGGCACACGACCGCCGCAGCCGACAUGGCCGCCGGACCCACGUGCCGCCGGCCGCGGAGGCGCAGUCUCUGGUGGAGUCGUUCUGCGCCGUCACCUCGGCGACCCCCGACAAGGCGGCCUUCUUCCUCGAGGGCCCAGCCGCCGUUCGCUCCUUCUACGACAACACGGAAGUCGACGCCGUUGGCCCCGAUCCGGCACCCCAGCCCCCGCCAGCCGGUUCGCCUCCGUGCUCCUCACCACGCGCCACGACACCAUCGACGACCUCCUCCAUACCGGCGAGCUCGCGGUACAAGUAG